ACCAGACUCCUACGGGAGGCAGCAGUGGGGGAUAUUGCACAAUGGGGGGAACCCUGAUGCAGCGACGCCGCGUGGGUGAAGGAGUAUUUCGGUAUGUAAAGCCCUAUCGGCAGGGAAGAAGCAAGACGGUACCUGACUAAGAAGCCCCGGCUAACUACGUGCCAGCAGCCGCGGUAAUACGUAGGGGGCGAGCGUUAUCCGGAUUCACUGGGUGUAAAGGGAGCGUAGACGGCCAAGCAAGCCAGGGGUGAAAGCCCGGGGCCCAACCCCGGGACUGCCCUUGGAACUGCUUGGCUGGAGUGCGGGAGGGGCAGGCGGAAUUCCUGGUGUAGCGGUGAAAUGCGUAGAUAUCAGGAGGAACACCGGCGGCGAAGGCGGCCUGCUGGACCGCGACUGACGUUGAGGCUCGAAAGCGUGGGGAGCAAACAGGAUUAGAUACCCUCGUAU
RNAcentral lists this ribosomal RNA (447 nucleotides) under uncultured bacterium. RNAcentral's name for it is "partial 16S ribosomal RNA". It matches the Rfam family "Bacterial small subunit ribosomal RNA", at positions 330 to 793 of the family's 1533-position model. The record is from RNAcentral.